GUGCCAGCCGCCGCGGUAAUACAGAGGUCUCGAGCGUUAGGCGGAAUCACUGGGCUUAAAGCGUGUGUAGGCGGGUCGUUAAGUACCUUGUGAAAUCCCAUGGCUCAACCAUGGAACUGCUUGGUAUACUGGCGAUCUUGUGCAACCUAGGGGCGAGCGGAACAGAUGGUGGAGCGGUGAAAUGCGUAGAUAUCAUCUGGAACGCCAAUGGUGAAAACAGCUCGCUGGGGGUUUGCAGACGCUGAGACACGAAAGCCAGGGGAGCGAACGGGAUUAGAUACCCCGGUAGUCC
RNAcentral lists this ribosomal RNA (292 nucleotides) under uncultured bacterium. Its description in RNAcentral is "partial 16S ribosomal RNA". It matches the Rfam family "Bacterial small subunit ribosomal RNA", at positions 505 to 796 of the family's 1533-position model. The record is from RNAcentral.